UAAUCCUGGUCCUUGAAAUCUACCACUUUGUAGUGAGAAGAGGCAAGCAAAGAUAAGACAGUGGAAAACAGAGAAAAAUAUUGUCCCUGAGGCUGAGGAUUGCGUAAGAUACCAGUCCUAGGCCUUCCGAAGAAGGAAGCUGGGGAAAUAGACCAGGGACUUGGAAGAAGACACCAGAGAGCAGUUUGAGAGUAAACCGCAAGCCAAAUAAGAAUUCUUUAAAGGCUAGCAUCACAGAAUGAAGAAUUUCUUGGAAUUCUCAAAUCUACCACAUCUCCCAUUUCAAUGACCCAGUUAUACCGGAGACCUGAUUUAUAUCAUCUUCCUCACCGUAAGGGGUGAUCUCGGGCUCCCCUUUAAGGCUAGAACAAGCCGCUAACAGCACAGGUGAUGCUCUCAUAGUCGGUAACUUUUGCGAAGGGUUGGAUGAGGAGCUCUAGCACCUUUAAUGGUAUUUUCUUUGGCGUGAUCUUCUUUCUUUCAUCCAUCAUGGUUUCCUGUUGGAUAAUUGUAAAGCACAGAAAAGGAUUACAUAUCAUGCCUUGUUGGACCAGCAAGAGAGGAGUGAAAUGGCCAGAAGAGGUGUUAGCAGGGAAAAGAGCAGCUACAAAACACGAGUCAACGCCUGAGGUGGUGGUUAGUGUCCAGGAGAAAGCAGUGUUGUAAUUAAUGGCUUCUUCCGGCGGUUGUGUUGUGAUCCGCGACCGAAGGACCUGAUGCCUAUAACUAGCCCUCUCCUCCAUCAGGGAAUUCCGCUACAACUGUCUACCAGCAGUAUUACAGAUGAAAAACCUAAAGAGAUGAUCCAUUUACAUCCUCAAGAAGACAGCGGUGGAAGUCCUCAAACUCUGCAAACAAAUCAGGAAAACAGCAGUGCCCUUCCUUGACAAAGUAUACUAUAGAGCUGGAAAACGCCUCGGAUUACAGUGUUGCUGGAAAGGAGCCAAUUCAACAGAGUAAGAUGUGAGACUCAUAAAAUCUUGGAAGUGACCUCACUGAGACGCAGGCGUGUGUACGUGAAGGUGCUGCUGGGCUCCCAGGAGCUAGUAAAAGCUCCCUCCUCUUAGCUUGGAUUACUGUCACUCCUUGUGCUUUCUCCUCCUGCUGAACACACACAUCAUCGAGUUGGGGGAAAAGACUGCACUUAGGGUAUAUAAAUAGUCUCAAUUACUUAAAGGAAGAAGGUGGCACUUCGGAUUUCUGUUUACAAGUUUGUGAUUCGCCUUUCUUAUUUUCAAACGUUCAUACUGUGAAAUGGGCUCAUUAACGAGAAGAUCAAAAUCCAGGAGGAAGAUGUGAAAAACUAAGUCACAUACAAUUAUACUACUCAGUGAGAACCACUGUUAAUAUUUUGAUUUAUUUCUGCUAACCUUUCUUCAUACGUUUGUUUCUUUUUAAAGAUUUUUUUUUUUUUUUUAUUUGUUAGAGAGAGAGAGA
This is a long non-coding RNA of Zalophus californianus (California sea lion), 1437 nucleotides long. RefSeq lists it as uncharacterized. NCBI's taxonomy places the organism in Eukaryota, Metazoa, Chordata, Mammalia, Carnivora, Otariidae. The transcript is spliced from 6 exons. The record is from RefSeq and is a predicted model, not a curated record.